Molecule: long non-coding RNA, 326 nt
Filed under: Elaeis guineensis (African oil palm)
Lineage: Eukaryota; Viridiplantae; Streptophyta; Magnoliopsida; Arecales; Arecaceae
Description: long non-coding RNA (EGUI_LNC042211)
Source: RNAcentral
AAGCAUUCCAUUCACCAAAAGUUUUUAAAAUUUCAAGGCAUCCGAACCCAAUAUUUUCUUCUUCAAAUUUUGGUAACAAACUGGUAGCACAUUGUAUAGACCCUCGAUCAGUUACUAGCUUCCUAUCCCAUUUUUAGGUGGAAAACCCAAGAAACAGCGACACAAGAACCCAAACAAAUUGUGGCAUACCUAAAUAGGAUAAACAGGGCAAAUACUCUUCAACACAACUACUAUUACAAGUAGAAGCAAGAGGUGAAAAUGACCCAAAAUUUGUCCAAAAAAAGACUCAACUAAAAAUGGAAUACCAAAAUACCAAAAAUGCCCCU